CCUACGGGGGGCAGCAGUGAGGAAUAUUGGUCAAUGGGCGAGAGCCUGAACCAGCCAAGUCGCGUGAGGGAGUACUGCCCUAUGGGUUGUAAACCUCUUUUGUCGGGGAGCAAAAGCUGGACGUGUCUGGCUGUGAGAGUACCCGAAGCAAAAGCAUCGGCUAACCCCGUGCGAGCAGCCGCGGUAAUACGGAGGAGGCGACAGUUAUCCGGAUUUAUUGGGUUUAAAGGGUGCGCAGGCGGAUUUUUACGUCAGCGGUCAAACCGGGGGGCUCACCCCCAUCCAGCCGUUGAAGCUGGGGAUCUAGAGUGUGCGAGAGGUAUGCGGAAUGCGUGGUGUAGCGGUGAAAUGCAUAGAUAUCACGCAGAACCCCGAUUGCGAAGGCAGCAUACCGGUGCACAACUGACGCUCAGGCACGAAAGCGUGGGUAUCGAACAGGAUUAGAUACCCCUGUAGUC
This 458-nucleotide ribosomal RNA is filed under the name uncultured bacterium. Its description in RNAcentral is "partial 16S ribosomal RNA". It matches the Rfam family "Bacterial small subunit ribosomal RNA", at positions 338 to 795 of the family's 1533-position model. The record is from RNAcentral.